This 253-nucleotide unclassified non-coding RNA is filed under the name uncultured Hyphomonadaceae bacterium. Its description in RNAcentral is "contains 16S-23S intergenic spacer region". It matches the Rfam family "Bacterial small subunit ribosomal RNA", at positions 524 to 776 of the family's 1533-position model. The record is from RNAcentral. Lineage: Bacteria; Pseudomonadati; Pseudomonadota; Alphaproteobacteria; Hyphomonadales; Hyphomonadaceae.
UACGUAGGUGGCGAGCGUUGUUCGGAUUUACUGGGCGUAAAGCGCGUGUAGGCGGGCUUGUAAGUUGGGGGUGAAAUCCCGAGGCUCAACCUCGGAACUGCCUCCAAAACUGCAAGCCUGGACCCAAAGAGAGGCGAGUGGAAUUGCGAGUGUAGAGGUGAAAUUCGUAGAUAUUCGCAGGAACACCAGUGGCGAAGGCGACUCUUUGGCCUAUAACUGACGCUGAGGCGCGAAAGCGUGGGGAGCAAACAGG